UGGCAUUGUUGUCCAUAUGGGGUCUCGAG
RNAcentral lists this non-coding RNA (29 nucleotides) under Rattus norvegicus (Norway rat). The record is from RNAcentral. Lineage: Eukaryota; Metazoa; Chordata; Mammalia; Rodentia; Muridae.